Molecule: ribosomal RNA, 492 nt
Filed under: uncultured bacterium
Lineage: Bacteria
Description: partial 16S ribosomal RNA
Rfam family: Bacterial small subunit ribosomal RNA
Source: RNAcentral
AGUGAACGCUGGCGGUAGGCUUAACACAUGCAAGUCGAACGGCAGCACAGUAAAGCUUUCUUCUUACGAUCUGCGAGUGGCGGACGGGAGAGAAAUACAUCCGACCCUCCCUUUUCGGGGGGGCAACCGUAGGGAAACUCAGCUAAUUCCCCCUAACAACUAACGGGUGAAUCCAGGAAAGCUUCGGACCUUCCUCGAUGUAUAAGCUAGCUGUCGGAUUGGCUAGUUGGCGGGGUAAAGGCCCACCAAGGCGACGAUCCGUAGCUGGCCUGAGAGGAUGAUCAGCCACACUGGAACUGAGACACGGUCCAGACUCCUACGGGAGGCAGCAGUGGGGAAUAUUGGACAAUGGGCGCAAGCCGGAUCCAGCCAUACCGCGUGGGUGAAGAAGGCCUUCGGGUUGUAAAGCCCGUUUGUUGGGAAAGAAAAGCAGCAGGUUAAUACCCCGCUGUUCUGACGGUACCCAAAGAGUAAGCAACGGCUAACUUCGUG